Molecule: ribosomal RNA, 115 nt
Filed under: Castor canadensis (American beaver)
Lineage: Eukaryota; Metazoa; Chordata; Mammalia; Rodentia; Castoridae
Source: RNAcentral
GUCUAUGGCCAUACCACCCUGAAUACACUAGCUCUUGUCUGAUCUCAGAAGCUAAGCAGGGUCGGGUCUGUUUAGUUGUUGGGGGACCACCUGGGAAUACUGGGUGCUUUAGGCU